AUGAACGCCCCUCCCAUAUAUAGAGUUGAGCUGGAAUACUAUCGGUAGCAAACGGGUUCCGUUGCCACCCAUUUGUUUUCGAUGAUGGAGCCACCAAAUAAUCUAUACCACUUGAAGUAUCUAGAAAUCAAAUUUCAUACUUUUUCGAUAUUGUUUUCUUGUUCAUUAAGUGAGCGUAAAAAUGAGCGGCUGAAAAUAAAUAUCAUCUAAAAAGUGAUGAUAGAAAUUCUGCAAUCAAGAUCGAGAGUAUAGAUAUUGUUCUAAAUAGUUUAAAGAAUUUUCUAACCAAAAUUCAAUUGAUUUGAAUAACUUUACACCGUUAAACGAGAAAACGCCUCAUAUCGAUCAUUAAAAUUACAAAUUUUAAAACCCUUUGAUCAUUAGGUCAAUGUGUCAAAAAGAUUUAAAAUUUGAUUUCUAGAUACUACAAGUGGUAUAGAUCAUGUUCAACAGUGCGGAUCGUCGAUUUGAAGGCUCCAUCAUUGAAAAUAAAUGGGUGGCAACGGAGCCUGUUUGCUACCGAUAGCAUUUCAGCUCAACUCCCCAUAUAUAUAUGGGAGGAGAUGAUUCAGUUGACGGAAGAGAGAGAGAGAGAGAUAGGGGCGUUAGUCCAAAUUUUUGUCAACUAGAAGGGAUAUGUCUGGUAGGAGAUAGUUUUCACAAUGCAUUCCGAUGAGAAGACUAAUUAUUGCGCAUGGACUAGGUCAAAGAGAGGAACGAAGGAUGCUCUAAUGGGCAGAUAAAACAAUAUUAGGUGGUGAGAAUAGUUUUGUAUAUACUAUCUCUCAUAUAUCUAAUUAAAAGAAUUAGGUGUGAAAAAAAUAAAACAUUUAAAUAAGCUAUCAAAUCAACUUAAAUAUUAAAUGUUCAUAUUUCAAUGUGAUUAUAUUUAUUUAUAUAUUGAAAAAUUAAUUAAAAUUUUAAUAUUUUGGGUGGUAAACAGUAUUUCAAAUGAAAAAAUUAUAUAACUUGAAAAUAUAUCAAUUUGGAAAAAAUAGAUGAAUGAUAAAUAAAUAAUGCUUAUAUAAUAAAUUAUAUUGAAAUAUGGAUCAAAUUAAUUAUCAAAUAUUGAGUUUUAUUCCAUAAAUUUACAAUCUAAAUUUAUUAAUUUAAAAUUUAUAAUUACUUCAAAUUUUUAAAUUUGGAUACACAUUAAAAAAAUUAAAGUUAGAAAAAAAUUAACUGAUAAAUAAAUUUAUACCCAAUAAUUACUUAAUUUUAAAUAUAAAUAUAAAUUUAAUUUAAUUAAAUGUUACGUACAUUGCACGUGCACUAUAACUAGUAUAUAUAUAUAAUAUAUAUAUAUAUAUAUAUAUGCUAGUCUCCUAUAAUAUUAUAGUACUGGGCUCCGGUACUAUAGUCUCGUUUUCGAUCUUAGGUGUUCAAAUCAACGAUUCAUACAGUUAAAACUGAUCUAGGUAUUUAAAGUUUUUAGAAAAUAAAUUUUAUAUUUUUCGAUAUAGUUUACUUUAUGAUCAACCAUUUCAAAAUUGUCAAUUUUCAAUGGCUAUAUGGAGUUUGGAGUUUAACGUGUAGAAGAAUCUAAAUUUCUUCAAAUUUGAUAGAAAAUACUUUAACAUCUAUAUAUUAAGGUUAACAUUCUUGAUCUUGAAUUUAAAAUUCUAUGCUCAAAUUUUAAAGAUUAUUCUAUUUUCACCGUCCAUUUUGAUAUAAUUUAUUUACUAAGUAAACGAUAUGAAAAAAACUAAAAUUUUAUUUCUAAGAACUUCAUAUACCCUAGAUCAUAUUUAACGGUGUGGAUCGUUAAUUUGAACCCCCUAAGAUCGAAAAUAAGACUAUAGUACCGGAGCUCCGGUACUAUAGAUAGUAUAGUAACCUAAUUUAUAUAUAUAUAUAUAUAAUAUAUAUAUAUAUAUUAUAUAUAUAUAAUAUAUAUAUAUAUAUAAUAAAUNNNNNNNNNNNNNNNNNNNNNNNNNNNNNNNNNNNNNNNNNNNNNNNNNNNNNNNNNNNNNNNNNNNNNNNNNNNNNNNNNNNNNNNNNNNNNNNNNNNNNNNNNNNNNNNNNNNNNNNNNNNNNNNNNNNNNNNNNNNNNNNNNNNNNNNNNNNNNNNNNNNNNNNNNNNNNNNNNNNNNNNNNNNNNNNNNNNNNNNNNNNNNNNNNNNNNNNNNNNNNNNNNNNNNNNNNNNNNNNNNNNNNNNNNNNNNNNNNNNNNNNNNNNNNNNNNNNNNNNNNNNNNNNNNNNNNNNNNNNNNNNNNNNNNNNNNNNNNNNNNNNNNNNNNNNNNNNNNNNNNNNNNNNNNNNNNNNNNNNNNNNNNNNNNNNNNNNNNNNNNNNNNNNNNNNNNNNNNNNNNNNNNNNNNNNNNNNNNNNNNNNNNNNNNNNNNNNNNNNNNNNNNNNNNNNNNNNNNNNNNNNNNNNNNNNNNNNNNNNNNNNNNNNNNNNNNNNNNNNNNNNNNNNNNNNNNNNNNNNNNNNNNNNNNNNNNNNNNNNNNNNNNNNNNNNNNNNNNNNNNNNNNNNNNNNNNNNNNNNNNNNNNNNNNNNNNNNNNNNNNNNNNNNNNNNNNNNNNNNNNNNNNNNNNNNNNNNNNNNNNNNNNNNNNNNNNNNNNNNNNNNNNNNNNNNNNNNNNNNNNNNNNNNNNNNNNNNNNNNNNNNNNNNNNNNNNNNNNNNNNNNNNNNNNNNNNNNNNNNNNNNNNNNNNNNNNNNNNNNNNNNNNNNNCACUCGUAAAAUCGAAAAGAAGACUAUGGUAGUACUGGAGCUUCGAUACUAUAGAUAGUAUAGUAGCCUAAUUCUAUAUAUAUAUAUAUAUAUAUAUAUAUAUUAUAAUAUAUAUAUAUAUAUAUAUAUAUAUAUAGAAUUAGGCUAGAUACUAUUAGUAGUAAAAAAGCUCUUUUUGCUAUCAAGUUUUAACCCUUGAAUAAAAAUUGUAGGGUUAGGAUAUAUCUAGUCAGUUAGAGUUGAGUGGUCCCCCUAGGUUGAGUGGUCUCCCUGGGUUAUAGUAUUAAUCUAAUGGUAGAAAUGAUGAAAAAAAGAUUGAUCCAAAGGCUAAAAACCUGGUAGCCAACAAAUGAAUUUUGCUACUAAUAUAGCCCAGUCCAACUCUAUAUAUAUAAUAUAAGAGUUGAGGCUAGAAUACUCUCGAUAGUAAACGGGGCGUUUACUAUCGAGUUGUUUUCGAUGAUAGAGCUUCCAAAUGACGAUCGGCUCCGUUUGAACAUGAUCUAUACCACUGAAGUGUUUAGAAAUCAAAUUUCAAAUCUUUUCGACAUCAUAUGCUAAUGAUCAAAGGGUUUCAAAUUGUAAUUUUAAUGGUGGAUAACAGACGUUUUCUCGUUUAACGGUUGUAAAGAUAUCCAAAUCAAUUUGAAUUUUUGUUAGAAAAUUCUUUAAAACUAUUUAAAACAAGAUCUAUACUCUUGAUCUUGAUUACAAGACUCCUAUCAUCAUUUUUUAAAGAAUAUUCAUUUUCGGGCCAUUCGAAUUUUUUGUUCACAUAGAGAGAUAAAAGAACAAUAUCGAAAGUGCGUGAAAUUUGAUUUCUAGGUAGUUUAAAUGGUUUAGUCAUAUUUAACGAAACGAUCGUCAAAUUGGGAAGCUCUAUCAUCGAAAACAACUCGAUAGUAAAACGCCCCGUUUACUACAGAGAGUAUUCUAGCUCAACCUCUAUAUAUAUAUAUAUAUAUAUAUAUAUAUAAUUAGAUGGGAUACUAUUAAUAGUAAAACCCUCUUUUUGCUAUCAAGUUUUAACCCUUGGAUGAAAAUUGUAGGGUGUAGGAUGAUAUUAGUCAGUUGAGUUGAGUGUCCUCCCUAGGGUUGAGUGGUCCCACUGGGUAAGUAUUUAAUCCAAUGGUUCAGAAAUGAUGAAAAAAAGUUGAUCCAAAGGCUAUAAAAAUGGUAGCAACAAUAAGAUUUUGCCUACUAAUAGCUAAGCUCCAGCUCCAAACUCCUAUAUAUAUAUACUAUAUAUAGUUAUAUAUAUAUAUAUAUAUAUAUAUAUAUAGAGAUAGAGAGAGGCAGAUUGAGCGAAUCAGAGCCGAUGCGUCCGGCGGAGUCCCCUGAGCGAGAGGAGACUACCGACGCACCGGGCUGAGGAUGUAUGAGACGGAGGAGAGGGGACGGGGCGAGGGGAGGGAGCUGCGGAGGACAGACGGGACCUGGAGAGAGAUUCAAAUUAACGAUCCACACCGUUAAAUAUGAUUUAGGGUAUAUGAAAUUUUUAGGAAUAAAAUUUUAGUUUUUUUCGACAUCGUUCACUUAAUAAAAAAAAUUAUGUCAAAAUGGACGAUGAAAAUUAAAUAAUCUUUAAACUUUAAGUAUAGGACUUUUAAAUUCAAGAUCAAGAAUGUUAAUCUUAAUCUAAAUAGUUUAAAGUAUUUUCUAUUAAAAUUUAAAGAAAUUUAGAUUAUUCUACACCGUUAAACUCCAAACUCGCCAUAGUAGCCAUUGAAAAUUGACAAUUUUGAAAUGAUUUGAUCAUAAAGUAAACUAUGUCGAAAAAAUAUAAAAUUUUAUUUCUAAAAACUUUAAAUACCCUAGAUCAGUUUUAACGGUGUGGUUCGUUGAUUUGAACACCCUAAAAUCGAAAACGAAACUAUAGUACCGGAGCCAGAUAGUAUAGGAGACUAUAUAUAUAUAUAUAACUAAGCUGGUAUAUUAUCGGUAGUGUAGAGACCUUCGUAUUACUGAUAUAUUUUCAAUGAUGCAGCUUUUAAAUUGAUGAACGGUUCUAUUAGACUUGACCGAUAUAUACUAUUGAAAGUACUUGAAAACUAAAUUUUAUAAUUUUGUGUCAUUAGUCUUGCUUAGUUGAUUCUCUUUUUCUCAUUGUAGGUGUUACUGCUAUGCUUUAUUACGUGCACUCUUAACUACGGAUCGAUGGCAAUUUUGGGCUACCUCAUGUACGGCGACAGUGUAAACUCUCAAGUGACUUUCAUCUCCCUACAGGAAAGCUUAGCUCGAAGGUAGCAAUAUACACCACACUAAUUAAUCCGUUCUCAAAGUACUCCUUGAUGAUUGCCCCGGUCGUAACUGCAAUCGAAGAAAGAUUGAUCACGGUCAUCAAGAGAUCUGCUACGCUGUUGAUUCGAAGCCUCGUGGUUCUUAGCACCGUGGUUAUAGCCUUAACCAUCCCGUUCUUCGGCUCCCUUAUGGCGCUCAUUGGCUCAUUACUAAGCAUCAUAGUGUCUAUGAUGCUGCCCUGUAUAUGCUACAUCAAGAUAUUUGGCGCGUCACAAGUUCGGAAGGUCGAGCUAGUACUCAUUUCGGAGAUUUUGUUGACGGGUACUUUGGUUGCUAUAACCGGUACUUACGCUUCUUUGAAGGAGAUUAUUCAUCAACUCUGAAUAUUUCUGCAGGGAACUUGUAGUGUUCUACCCGAAGAGUUCAUCAGUUAGCGUGACCGACAGCGAAGGGAAGCUCAUUCUGUGUACAAUUGUCAAGAAUAGCUUUCAGCGGCUGCGAAUCGAAUCAAUUAGAGAUGCAUGCAUGUAUGUGGUCGGCGACGCUCUUUCCAGUGACUCACUGUGAGUCAAUUUGGUUCCUGGAUUCUGAGACCGAUUCGAAGCCUGCUAGUGAUUGCUCCGAAGGACACGGCUGAUCAAGUUUCCUCCAGGAGAAGGAAGAGGAAAACUGAAGGGUACUGCAGACAUGAUUUCGUGUUCGGUGUAAAGUCCACCAUGUGCUGUUUCUAUGCUAAUUUUAUGCAGAUCAACUAUUUUGCCGACAUAUUUGAUUGGCAUGUUAAAUAAAUGGCGAAAACUCGACUCUUCUUCGUAAUUGCCGAUUUUAUUGUCACUUUUCGAUUUUCUGGCAACUGAUGUUUACGUUCUAAUUGUUUAUUAUAGAAUCAGAACUGUAUGGUGUUUAAGUUCUUUGAUAAGUUACAGAUUGAAGUUUUGGACAAAUGGAAGUCUCCAGUCACGGCUUGAAAUUAUAUAUAUAAUAAUUGCUAUUACUUACAACGUGCGUCCCCAUGUGCUUGUGCUCUACCAAUUGGUUUGAUUCCUUUUGAUUAAGUAAAGCUUUUUUUUUACCCUUUUAGAAAUAUGUAAAUAGAAUCUAAUUACAGUAUUUGGAUCUAUACAAUUUGAUUUUCUGUUGAGAAUCAGACUGAAUAAAGCACGUGCUAAUCAAGAUCGCAGCAAAUUCUGAAGCCACUGAGAGCCUGCUUGUUUGCACGGAAGUGGGAUGGGAAAGUGAUUUUCGGUGAAAACUGACUAUUUUCGUUGUUUGGUUCACCGUAAAAAAGUUACGGUCGAAAGUCCAGUUAACCAAAAACGACGUAAUUGACUUCAGCCUAUUGUGGGCCGAAGUCAAUUAUGGUGAUUAAGAUAAGAUUCUAAAAAGACAAAUAUUUUAGAACGUGCACUACAAUAAAAACGGUCUAUAGCGACACUUUUAAAUAUAGGUACAUGUCAAAAAAGUGCUGCUAGCUAAAAUUACCGAUACUUUUAAAAAGUGUUGCUAUAUGUGGGGUCGCUAGGCAUAUAGUAACAAUUAAAGAGUGUUGCUAUAACCUAAAAGAGUGCUGCUAAUUUACCAACACUUAUUUAAGCAUUUAGCAACCGCCGAAACUCUAUCUCGUUGGCUGCGGUGGCAGAGGAGGACGACAGGAAAGGCUUUUCGUCUAGAAUUUCAGUGGAUUGAGUAAAGAGAGAAGAAAAGAUGGUAAUUAAUUUUUCUUUUUUUUUUCUUUUCUGUUUAUAAUCGGGCCAAAUGAACUGGAUGUGGUGAGUUGAGUAGAGUAAUCUUUUAUUUUUGGUUGGAUUGGGCUUUAUAUUUAGGCAUUAGUAGAUAUUUUUUUUAAGUUUUAGAAUAAAUGGGACACUUACUCAAAAGUGUCCCAAACAUGUGUCCCUAUAACAUAAUUCUGUUAUAGUGGUGCAAUAUGUACUAUGCAGAGACAAAGCCAGGAUUCAAUCACGAGGAGGGCAAAAUAUAUACAAAUAAAAUUUUAGCAAAUAAAUAAAAUUUUAACUACUCAAAUUUUUAAUAAAAAAAUGUAGUGAUUAGAUAAUUAAUGUUAAAAAUAUUAAAUUUAUUUUUUUAAUUUACACUUGCUUAACUUUCAAUUAUUUUAUUUGCAUUAUUUUAUUCAAAUAACUUAAGAAUUUUACUAAAUCUAAUCAUAAUUUAGUUAUCAUUUAAUUUUUAAAUUUUUUUAAUAAAAUAAUGACAACCAAUGACUAAUAUUCAACAGAGCUCCUAAAUUUAGCAUAUAAUUUUAUUUAGUUGUAUAAAUUAGCUCAUCAAAAAUAAUUAGAAAGUUAAGAAUGUAUAAAUAAAAUAUUUAAAGUUGAAAGGACGUAUUUUAAAAUACACUAUAAUUAAGAGGUUCUUAGUAUAUUUUCACUUAUAAAACAUAUAAUUAAGUAGAGAGAGCUGUAUACUGGCGCUAAAAUUUUUUUAUAAAAUAGGCUCGUAUAUUUUAAAAAUUAACUAAAAAUUUAUGAACUGCCAAAGAACUAUAAAGUUAAUAUUGAAAAGUUAAUAUUGAAAAGUUAAGGAGGGCCGUAGCCCCUUUGGAUCUAUAUAUGGCUCUGUCCCUGGUACUAUAUAGCUAAUGAAGAUACAUGCACCAUGAGAAUAUUAUGAUUAUAAGAUUAUAUGUAAGUUGGUGAUAGGCGAGAAGCGCUUAAUAAGAUGGCGAGAAGCGCUACUGAGGAGCCCCUCCUCCCUUUGCUGGAGUUGAACACUUCAAAGAAAUUGGUGGAGGCCCAUCAACAAGAUGACGCCACUUUCGUUAGGACUUGUUUUAAUGGGCUUAAUGCUUUAUCUGGUGCAAUCUCAAUCUUUUUCUUCUUUUUUUUUAAACUUGUUUUUUGUUGCCAUUUAUUAGUGCAGAUUUUUAAGAAGAAGUAUAAUCUUGUUCGAGGAUCUUAAUGUAAUUAACAUCAGGUCUUUUUCAUCUCAAGGUAUUGUUGUCUUUUUUUAAACAUAAUUAUUAUUCUUAUUUUAAGUUUGACCGGGAUCAUGCAUAGAUAUGUAUGCCUCUCCAAGGUUUUCUUUUUUAGAAACAGUUUGAUUGCAUGCAAAAUUACAAAUUAUAUUAUUGUUGUAAUUAUAUGCAGAUUAAAAUUUGGUGUUUGAUAUGUUUGAAUUUAACUGUUACAGUUGGUAUUAUACGAGAAGUCUUAACUGUAGUAGUUUAAACUACGCUUAAACUGGUGCUGCAGUUCCAAUUGUUACAGCAUACUUUCUACUCUAUCCAACUAAAUAAAAUGUAAAAAAUUAUAUAUGAAUUUUCUUAACUGGACGUAUCUCUAACUGCACCAUAUAUAUAAUUACGUCAAAUCAAAGUGCCCUUAGCUUUUCCUUUUCUCGAGUAAAAUGGGUUUUUAAAGAAGAAAAAGUUAUGAACUGGAUUUCAAUGUCUUUUUUAUUUAUUUAGCUAAGGAAAAACAAAAAAAAUAAUAAUAAUAGCCAAUCGAUGUUGUUACAUUCAUUGUUCAUCAACCGGUGUUAUUACAUUCUUCUUCUUCUUUUUUUCCUUUACUUCUACUGUUUUAUUUCCUCGUAUUCCAGUUUUUCUUUUUUUUUAUUGCAUUAUUUAAACUCUAUCAUUUCAUUAUAUUUUCUCCAAAAAAUCACUACAUAAGCACAAUAGGUUCUUUAUAUAUAUAUAUGGGCCAUGGCUACUAUUCUAUUAUGAGUAUUGGAGCCCUCGUACUCAUAAGUUAUUUUUAAUGAUAGAGUUUCCGAAUCGACGAUCCAUUUCGUUAAAUAUGAUCUAGAGUAUUUGAAACUUCUAGAAAAUAAAUUUUGUAAAUUUUCAAAAUCAUAAUAAAGUCCAUCAAGUGGGCAUAAAAUGAACGGUUAAAAUCGAACGACGUCCUAAAAAAGGAUGAUCGGAUCCUUCAAUUCAAGAUCGGAGUUAUUGAUCUUUAUUUAUGUAGUGAAUAGAAUUUUCUAUCAAAAAUUCAACAAAUUUCGAUUCUUUUACACUGUUAAACUAGCAAGUAUCCCAUACCGGCCGUUAAAAAUUGUCAAAUUUGUGACAUCUUUAUCGUAAGGUAAAUGAUGUCGAAAAUUUAUAAAAUUUAAUUUCUAGAAGUUUUAAAUGCUGUAAAUAACGUUUAACAGUGUGGAUCGUCGAUUCGGAAGCUCUAUCAUUGAAAACAACUUAUGAGUACGAGGCGAUCGUACUCAUAAUAGUAUAGUAGCCAGACCAUAUAUAUAUAUGUAUAUAUAAUAUAUAUAUAUAUGUAUAUAUAUAUAUAUAUAUAUAUAUGUAUAUAUAUGUAUAUAUAUAUAUAUAUGUAUAUAUAUAUAUAUAUAUAUAUAUGUAUUAUAUAUAUAUAUAUAUAUAUAUAUGUAUAGUUAAAUGCCAUAAUAGGUCUCUGCAAAUAUAAUGAAUUGCAAAUAUAUUCCUACAAAAUUCAACUUUCAUAUAUUGUUUCUACAAAAGUUCUAAUAUUUUCAAAUAUGUAUCUCUAGUUUGUUACCGUUAGAGAACACUUCGAGAACUAUUUAUGUUUUCAAUUUUACCAUCACAAAUGUGCCCAUUCAAAAGCCACAACAGUAUAAUAGAAGAGGGACAAAAAUAUCAAGUUAUCUUAUAAACUAACCAGGAUUAAGUAUUUAAUAUAUGAUUAGCUAAAUUUUUCUAACGUAUUCUAACGACAGAAACAUAUUUAAAAAUAUUAAAACUUUUAUAAAGACAAUAUAUGAAAAUUGAACUUUAUAGUAAUAUACUUGUAAUUUACUAUAUUUACAAGAAGCUGUAUGAAUUUAACCGCAUAUAUAAUGUGUUGAGUACUUAAAUAAUGAGUACGAUUCUAUGUAAAGAGAUAUUUGUGAUAUUAACCACAUUCCAUACUCUCCAAGAUAGAAUUACAAGAUAGUCCUUAAUGUUUUUUUUUUUUUUUUUUUGGCGCUUUUGUUUUAUAUAAUAUAGGAGUUGGACUACUGUCAAUCCCCUAUGCANUCCUUUUUUUUUUUUUUUUUUUUUUUUUGGCGCUUUUGUUUUAUAUAAUAUAGGAGUUGGACUACUGUCAAUCCCCUAUGCACUUUCACAAGGAGGUUGGUUAAGCCUGCUGCUACUCUUCAUUGUAGCCAUGAUCUGUUGCUACACCGGCCUGCUCCUUCAACGGUGCAUGAAAGCCGACCCGAGAAUCCGAACCUAUCCGGACAUCGGCGAGUUCGCAUUUGGCUACUUGGGAAGGAUAUUCGUGUCGGUCUUCAUGUACUUGGAGCUGUACCUCGUCGCGAUCGGGUUCUUGAUACUAGAGGGUGACAACUUGGAUAAGUUGUUCCCCGACACUAAGCUUAUCGUCGGAACUGUCAGCAUCGCGAGUAAGCAGUUGUUUGUCAUGCUAGUUGCGCUUAUAAUCUUGCCGACUACUUGGCUGCGGAGUCUCAGCGUGCUUGCUUAUGUCUCGGCCGGAGGGGUUCUUGCCUCAGUUAUUGUUGUGUUCUCCGUGCUGUGGGCUGCGACGGUUGAUGGGGUUGGAUUCGGUGAAAGAGGGAGGUUCUUGAACUUGAGCAGUCUGCCGACCGCUCUAGGGCUUUACACAUUCUGUUACGGCGGCCAUGCCGUGUUUCCGACGCUAUGCACUUCGAUGAAGGAUAAGAGUAAGUUCUCAAAGGUGAGUAGCACAAGGAGCUAGCAUUCCAUUCAGGGUGCGUUUGGUCCACGUUUUUUUUUUAAAAAUUUCUAGUAAUUCAAUAAAAAUAAAAAAAUAUGACGGUGUUUGAUUAAACGUACUAAAUAAUCUAAUUGGUAAUAUUAGAUUUACUUGGGAAUGAGAUUUAUCCUAAAAUACUAAUCUCAUUUUCUUGAGGGAGGAUAAAUAUCCUCAUAUUAAUGGAUUGGGAUAAUCAUAAUAUAUCUAAUAUCUUUCUUUCUCCCUACCUGUCGGCUAGUUGGUAUUAUUUUUCUUUACACUCUAAUCUCAUAUUUCCCUCUAAACUUAUCUUUUUCUCUCUAAACUUCAACUCUUUUUCUCUCUCUAAACUAAUUUCUCUUUCCCCCUCUUUUCUAAAUUCUCAACUCUCCCACUCCCUCUAACUUCUCUCUCUAAUCUAUGUUAUCUCUUACUUUUUUUCUAAAAAGAUGUUGAAAUUUGUGGUAGUAUUAUCUAAAAUUAAUUUAAAAAAAUAAAUUAAUUGUAUAUUUUUUGUAAUCUUAAAUAAUAUGACUAAAUAAUAUGACUGUGCGAACCAAACACAGGAAUGCCACAUUCUUAGUAAUAAGAUGAAUAUGAAUAAAAUUCUCGAAUAUUUUUUUUAUUUCUAGUAAUCUUUUAUAGUGCGAACCAAACGCGCCCUAAGUGCUAUACAAUUUUAAGUAGCAAGGGUACAGUAGGUGAUCUCACAGCAGUUCAGAACAGAACCCUUAAAUUACCACUGAAACUUCUCAACAAGAAAAAAAAAGAAAAAGAAGAUGAUAUGGUAUUACUUAACCUAGUGGCGAAUUUUGUAACCAAUUAUUGAACUUUUUGGUCAUCUCAUGACCAGAGAAAGAUGAUUUCAGAAGUUAAAUGCUCUGUUUGUUAUAUGUCUCCAUGCCCAUUGAAUUGAUUCUUGUUUGAAUUUUGUGUCAUUAGUCUUGCUUAGUUGAUUCUCCUUUUUCUCAUUGUAGGUGUUACUGCUAUGCUUUAUUACAUGCACUCUUAACUACGGAUCGAUGGCAAUUUUGGGCUACCUCAUGUACGGCGACAGUGUAAACUCUCAAGUGACUUUGAAUCUCCCUACAGGAAAGCUUAGCUCGAAGGUAGCAAUAUACACCACACUAAUCAAUCCGUUCUCCAAGUAUGCCUUGAUGAUUGCCCCGGUCGCAACUGCAAUCGAAGAAAGAUUGAUCACGGUCAACAAGAGAUCUCCUACGCUGUUGAUUCGAAGCCUCGUGGUUCUUAGCACCGUGGUUAUAGCCUUAACCAUCCCGUUCUUCGGCUCGCUUAUGGCGCUCAUUGGCUCAUUACUAAGCAUCAUAGUGUCUAUGAUGCUGCCCUGUAUAUGCUACAUCAAGAUAUUUGGCGCGUCACAAGUUCGGAAGGUCGAGCUAGUACUCAUCUCGGGGAUUUUGUUGACGGGUACUUUGGUUGCUAUAACCGGUACUUACGCUUCGCUGAAGGAGAUUAUUCUUCAACUCUGAAUAUUUCUGCAGGAAAUUGUCGAGGCUUCGAAUUGUAUUUCUCAUGUCCUCUGUCAAAGCUGUAUUAUGUAUUUUUUGCUUUUUAAUAAAUGAGAAAAUCAAUCGAAACAAAUUACAUCGAGCAGAUUGCAGGAAUCAAAAUCGUACGUUCGUUUCGAUUGGAAAAAUUAUAUCAACAGUGUCCGUUCUUUUCAUGUUCAAGUUCAAUCCAUUCAGUGCCUCCGCGAUACUGUCAAAACCAAUACAAGAAUCAUCAUCCCCGGAAAUAAACCGAUAAAUCCUCCCUCCCACUUCGACGCAACUCUCCCCCGCUACCUUCUUCAACCCCUCCAUUCUCAUCACUCGCCUCAUCUUCGCAGCCUCCUCCCAUGAGCCGACCUCUGAAUACAUAUUUGCGACCAUCACGUAGUUCCCGCUCCGUCUGGGCUCCAAUGCUAGCAGCUUUCUUUGCACCUCUUCCCCGAUUCCGUGACUAUCUUUGGAACUAUGUAACUGGCAAGCGCUUAGCAGAGUUCUCCAUACAACCGCGUCAGGCUCAACGGGCAUGCUUUUAGUAAAGUUGUAAGCUUCAAGAAGGCGACCGUUGCGACCUAGUACAUCGACCAUGGCGCUGUAGUGUGUCAUCAUCGGCUUGAUACCGUAUACAUGCUCCAUUUCAUGGAAGAGUCGAUACGCCUCAUCCGCCAAGCCCGCAUGCGAGCAAGCACAAAUAACGCCCAGGAAGGUCACGUAAUUGGGUUCGACGGAAGUGUUCUUCAUCUGCGAGAAAAGCGUAAGAGCUUCUUCCGGGGCGCCGUGCUGAGCGAACCCGAGAAUCAUGGCGCUCCACGUCCACACGUUCCUCACUGACAUCUUCUCGAAUAAGCGGCGGGCGUAUGUUAUCGCCCCGCAUUUGGCGUACAUGUUGACAAGGGCGGUGCCUAACUGAAGAGUGAACUCUCUCUCAAUUUGUAAUAUCUGGCCGUGAAUCCACUUUCCGAAAGUCAAGCACCCGAGCUCGGCGCAGGCCGAGAGCAGGACGAGGAACGUGGGCUGAUCCAGCUCGAACCCGGAGUCCACCAUCCGGAAAAACAAUCUGAUGCACUCCUCGGGCGUCGAAUUAUCGACGCAGGCGGAUAACAUGGUGUUCCACGAGACCACGGUUCUGAGGGGCAUAUCGUCGAACACCUUACGAGCGUCACCCAAACGGGCACACGACCCGUAGAGCAGCAUGAGGGUGUUCUGCACGUAGACGACGAAAUCGACCCCGUUCUUCACGGCGUCGGCGUGGGCCUGGGCGCCGGAUCGGAGGUCGCGGAGUUGGGCGCAGGAUUUGAGGACGAAGGGGAGGUUGAGCUCGUUGGGGCGGAGGCCGCGGCGGCGCAUGAGGAGGAAGAGGCCGAGCGCGCGGGAGGGUGAGUCCGCUUGGGCGCGGGCGCGGAUGAGGAGGUUCCAAGCGGAGCGCGAGGGGAGGAGGAGGGGGGAGUGGAGGAGGAGGGUUUGGGCGUGGGCGUGGGCGUGGGCGUGGGCGUGGGAGAGCGCGAGGACGCGGAGGAGCUCGGCGGCGAGGAAGGUGCGGCGGCGGAGGACGCCGGAGGUGAGGAGGUGGGCGUGGAGUUGGAGGAGGUGGGAGUGGGAGCUGCAAGAAGAGAGGAGGGAAUGGUAGCAGUGGUGAGUGCCGUGGGUUGCACUCGCGCUCAUGGGCCGAGCCAUGUAAAUCAACAAAGAAAGUAAAUUUACACCUAUUCAUUCUAAAAUUUAGAAUUAAUUUUUAAUAUUUGAAAAAUAAUUUUUAUAAAAUAAAAGUCUCCUUCUUGAAGUAUACCAUCUAAGUUAUUUUUUUUAUUCCGUACAGAGAUAUCAUGUACCGAACAUUUAUUUAUUUUCAAUUUUCAAUCUCAUAAUUCAAUACUAGUAUUUAUUUUUUAGAGACCAGAUAAUUAGAUUAAAGAGUUUUAGAUGGAUAAAAUAUGGGAUAACUUCAAAAAACCCACCCUGUGGUUUCCAACUUUCUCACUUUAGUACCAUGUGGUUUAAAGUGUAUCAAUUUACCCCCCUGUAGUUUUGUUUUUAUUUUUUCUAUAGUUUUUUUCUUAAUAUUUCGUUAAAUUAUAUGCAAAAAAACAUCAGAUAUCCAUCUAGAUUUAUCGAAUAUUUAUUUUAGGACCCUUUAAUUUUAAUUUUGUUACUGAUUUGAGAAAAAAAAAAUAAUAAAAUUGAUAAAAAAAAAAGAGAAAAAUGAAACCACAGAUUGAUACACUUUAAACCAUAUGGUACUAAAGUGAGAAAGUUGAAAACCACAUGGGGGUUUUUGAAGUUAUUCCAUAAAAUAUCUAUAAAUUUUUAUGCAAAUUAAUCAUAAAUAUUAGAAAAUAGGGAAAAUCAAUAUUAUUCAAAUAUAAUUUGAGUUAUGUAUCUACCAUUUCAACACAAUUUCACCUAAAUUUUUUCAUUGAAGCCAGAUUAAAAAAGGUAAUUAGCAAAAUAAUUAAUUACAAACGUAUAAAUUCCGUAUUCGUUCGCGCCACGUAAAUUUAGCAUCCGUGGCCCCUCGCCACGCCAUGGCACUACCUCGUCUUCUUCGCCCAAAUCCCUCCCUCUCCACUCUCCGCCAUUACCAACCCCCCCAUCCUCGCCUCCUCCUACACUCCUCCAUCAUUCCUCUCAUAUCCUCCUCCUCUUCCUCCUCCAAGACCCACCUCCUCCAAAUCCACGCCCACCUCCUCCGCACCUCCCUCCUCUUCCACGACAUUUCCAUCUCCUCCGCCUUCUUAUCCCGCGCCGCCGCGCACUCCGCCUCCUACUCCCUCCGCCUCUUCGACCAAAUCCCUCGCCCCACCAUUUUCCACUGCAACGCCAUGUUACGAGCCCUCUCCGAGAGCGCCUCCCCGGAGCAAACCCUCGUCUUCUUCAAGCGCAUGCAGGACCUCGGCGUCCGCGGUAACCCCUUCUCCUCCUCCUUCGUUCUCAAGGCUUGCGUGAGAACCUCUUCGUUCUCUCUUGGGAAACAGGUCCACGGUAGGAUUUUGCGACGUGGGCACCACUCCGAUUCCCUCCUCCUUACCAAUCUAAUAGGUAUUUACGACUCGUGCGGGAGCGCAAGCGACGCGCGCAAGGUGUUCGACGAAAUGGCCGAGAAGGACACCGUCGCGUGGAACGUUUUGAUCUCUUGCUACGCGCGAAACCGACGAACUAAAGAUGCUUUGCAUCUGUUUGACGAAAUGCGGGACCCGAAAUAUGGGGCCGAACCGGAUGAUGUCACCUGCCUGCUCCUGCUUCAAGCAUGCGCGAACUUGGGAGCGCUUGAUUUCGGCGAGCGGAUACGUGAGUUUGCCGAGGAACAUGGUUAUAUCGAUGCAUUGAAUGUGAGGAAUUCGCUUAUCGCCAUGUACUCAAAAUGCGGGUGUGCCAAUAAGGCGUACCGAGUGUUCUGUGACAUGCCUCAAAAGAACGUUGUUAGCUGGAGUGCGAUGAUUUCUGGUUUGGCAGUGAAUGGGUUCGGAAGAGACGCCAUCGAAGCAUUUCGAGAGAUGCUAAAUGUGGGCGUCGCUCCUGAUGAGCAGACGUUUACAGGGGUCCUCUCGGCUUGCAGUCAUAGUGGGCUGGUCGAAGAAGGACUGAGAUUCUUUGACAUGAUGAAAUUUGAGUAUGGUCUGGUCCCGAAUGUAUGUCACUACGGGUGCAUCGUCGAUCUAAUGGGCCGAGCUGGGUUGCUCGAUCGUGCUUAUGGUCUUAUAGUAAGAGAGAUGGGUGUCACGCCAGAUGCCACAAUUUGGAGAACUCUGCUUGGAGCUUGUAGGAUUCAUGGUCAUGUCGACCUUGGAGAGCGUGUAAUCUCUCACCUAAUUGAAUUAAAGGCACAACAAGCUGGGGAUUACGUUCUGUUAUUGAAUAUCUAUGCAUCCGCAGGAAAAUGGGAGAAGGUUGCAGAAGUUCGGAGGUUAAUGAAGGACAAAGGAAUUCAAACUACUCCUGGCUGUAGCUCGAUAGAAGUGAGCGGUGAGGUCCAUGAAUUUGUUGCGGACGAUGAUUUGCACCCGCGAAAAGCCGAGAUUUACGAGAAGCUUGAGGAGAUAUGUAAGCAGCUAAAGAUUGCGGGAUACGUAGCAGAUGUGGCUUCCGAGUUGCACGAUUUGGAUAUGGAGGGGAAGGAGAGUGCUUUGUCUUAUCAUAGUGAGAAGUUGGCCAUUGCUUUUGGUGUUCUCGUGACCCCACCGGGCAGAACAUUGAGAAUCGCGAAGAACCUUCGUAUUUGUGCUGACUGCCACAAUUUCAUGAAGGUGUUUUCUGGCGUUUAUAAUCGGCCGGUGAUUGUUAGGGAUAGGAGCCGGUUCCAUCAUUUCAAAGAGGGUCAUUGUUCUUGUAACGACUAUUGGUAGGCUAUUCCCAGCGUGGCUUGUCUAAGCCUCUGCUAACGGCGCAUCCUAUCUCAUGAAUAGCUUUAAGGACUUACUGGGGCAAAGAUGGAAAGAUUGAUAAGUUCUAGGCAGCUUUGUGAGGAUUCAUAGCAUAAUAAUGCUCUAAGAUUGCGAGUAUAUUGUUAAAGAUGUUAUUCAAAUGGAAGUUAUGUAGAAAACGGACUGUGUUUAUGGAUUUCGAUUAAUUUUGUGAUCCUUUUGAAGGGCUGAUAAGGAAAUGGAAGAUGAUAUUCAAAGGAAAGCAGAAAUCGGACUGUUUCGGGCACGUUCAAUCUGCAAGAAAUCAUUUGUUGAGGGGAUUUUGGAACAUCUUAUGUUUUGUGCUCAUUGCUGGUACCUGUUAGAGGCAACAUUCAUAACAAACAUAUUUGUUGCUAAAUGCCUUUCUCAGGGACUAUCAGUCAUUCGGAAGUGGCACUCUCUUCUCAAUAUUUCUCUACAUGAAAACAGCAUUAUUACGCCAUCUAGUUGAUCACACAGAAUAAUUUUUUGCUUUCUGAUUAAAAUUUGUUCUACUAUAAAUUGUUCCUUCAUUGCUUUGGUUUAUGUUUCUUAGAUCUCUCUGACAAAUCAUGUGACAUUUAAUUGUAUGCAGGUUGAAAAUCAACAAACUUGGUUGCUCUGAAUCCACCCUGGAGCUGCUGCUGCAAAUUCGCGUUAUCACAUCUGCGAUAUUGCAGAGUAAACCAUAAACAAUUAAUAGGAGAUGCAGAGUUGCUUUUUUUUCCCUUUUUUUUUUUGAAGUUUAAAAAGUUCUGAUUUUUCAGGGUUAUACUAGCUGGCAAAUGUUUGGAGUGGUCUGGUCUUGCACCUUGAAAAAACACCAUUGGAUGAAUCUGGUUCACCACGUCAGCUAUGGGGAGCCACGUCAUAUUAAAUAUAUAUAUUUUUUAACUUUUAAUAAGAUUGCAACUCAUUGGAUAAUUAGGAUUUACUAUAAUAAUUUCAAGUUUUUUAGUUAGUCAAAAGAUUACAGAUGGUAAAUAUUUUUCUAAUGAAUCAACCGUCUCUAGCGCAAAUGGCAAAGGAUUUGAUAAUUGGUAUCUGAGAUGUAAGUUCGAAUUAUAGUUGAUUCAUAUUUCUAGUUAAGUUUAUUUGUAAAUAAAAUAAAUGAAGUGGAUAGUAUACUAUCUAUCUCUCAAAAAAAAAAAAAAAAAAAUCAUAAGUCAUUUGGUAAGCUCUUAUGGGCUCAUGGAUUAAUGAACAUGCCAGAACCCACAUGGAAAUUGUCUAUUUUUUAACUUCAUAAAUACACAUUGAAUAACUUGAUAUGAUAAUAUUAAUAAAUGGCAUUGCCUAACCUCAUCCUCGAAUUCAACUUUCUUCUAAGUUAUUGGAGUGAAAAAAAAUAAAAAACUUCACUGAUGAUAUCUUUCCGGAUGCAAGACAGCGUGGAAGAGCUGGUACAAGACUAUAUAAAAUAAUUUUCUCUCGAUAAAAAUAAAUUAUUUUUUCUUAGAGAGAAAUGAUUCGGUACUUUUUUUAAAAAAAAAUAAAAAAUAUCUUAACCGUUGAUUAAUAGAAGGUAAAAAUGUAACUUUAAUACUUAGCAGGUAAAAGGAUUAUUUUAUUCAAGAUUAGUUUGGUAAUUAAAUAAUAUAAUAUUUAAAGAAAUUUUUAAUUGAGGUCCUAAAUUUAUGCAUUAAUUAGCACUAACUUAUAAAGUUAAUUGAUUAAUCAAAUUUAUGCAAUUAUUAGGUAUUAAAUUAGGAAUUUACUUUAAAUGUUUUAGUGUUUCUCAAAUUAUGCAUUAAUUUAAAUUAUAGAAAUUUUAGAAAUAGUUUUAUUUCUAAAUACGAUGAAUUUAAAUUUUAAAAAUUAAAUACUUAAAAUUUAAAAAUAAAAUUUAAAUUAGAGGAAUUUCAUAUUAUUAUUUAAAAACUAAAUUUCUACAAAGAUUUAAAAUACAAUUUAUUCGCACAAGUUUAAAACGUAAUGCAUUAAAAACUUAGAAAGUAAGAUUUCUACAACUAAAUUUCUCUAGAGGAAUUUCAUAUUACUAUUUAAAUUUUAAAUUCAAUGAUUUAAAAACUAUAUUGAACCGAUUGAUUUGACUGAUCAGACUUUGACCUAUUCUAUCAAGAAUCUGAUUUUAACCUAUUGAACCGAAUAACAUUAAGAACAAUUUGGAACCGGUAAAAAUAAUAAAUAUUUUAAACAAAAUGAUAAUUUAACUAUUAGAGCUAAUAAAUAUUUUAAAUAUAAUUUUAAACAUAUAAAUUUAAAAGAUUAGAAUUAUUGGUGAGAAAAAAAAUAGUUAGGAAUUUGAAUUCAAAUUUAACUAACAAUCACAAAACUUAUUUCCGAACUCGAAGGAUUUCAAAAAUCCAUAUCCAAAUUCAAAACUUACCAAUUUUUCGAAAUCCAAAACCAUACCUAAAUCAAAAGACUAGAAUUCAAACAAUUAUUUCUGUUUACCAUAUUUCAAAGUAUUUAUAUGAAACUUAAAUUUUUAAAAUAUAAAUUUGAAUAUAAUAUUAAAUUUUAAAUUUAAAAGUGAAAUUUAAAUUUGAGAAAUUUCAUAUUACUAUUUAAAGUUUAAAUUCAAUGAUCAUAUUAUCAAAUCAUUUGAAAUUUUUCUUAUAUGAAAUGCCAAAUUAUGAAAGAAAAGAUAGAGAGAGAAAAAGAAAACAAAGAAAAAAUAAAAAUUUUGAAAAUAUAGUAGAUGUAAAGUGACUAAAUUAUCUAUGUAGACAAAAAUAUCCCUUUUUGAGGUAUCUGGUAACCGGUAUCUCUCCCAAAGUGAUCUGCUAUUGCAGGUUAUAAUUUUAAAAAAACUAAAUCUGAAUCGUUGAAUACGUGUGAAUGAACGGUAACCAAAAAAAAAAAAAAGUACAGAAGCAUUACUCUUCUCUCUAAUAUAUGUUUUUUUUUUUUCCUUCUCUCCUCACAUUUUUUUUGUCUUAUUUUCUCUACAUUCAAACAAAAAGCUCCACUAUUAUUAUUAUUAUUAUUAUUAUUAUUAUUAUUAUUAUUAUUAUUAUAUACAAUUUUUUAAAAUCUAAAAUAUUAAAUCAAGUUAUCGUGUUUAAAAACACAUUCCCAACGACCGAAUACUUCUUCGGUGCCGUAUGCUCGUAAGAAUCGCAAAAGUCAAGACAACAACCAUUGGUUGGAUAUAUAAACACCCACAAAUAAAUAAUAAACACAAAUAUAUACACCAAUCAAUGAGCAAACAUGUAACAUUUACUACCAGUUUAAUAUGCAUUCGAAAAUUGCACAUAUAUAGAAUUAAAAAAUAAAGGGCAAUUAUAUUCAUGCACCGUAAUUAGUGACCAUUACCUACAUUUUCCUACUAUUUAUUGCCAUAUCACCUUGCCUAAUUUUCCUGAUAUAACGUCAUCAUCUCUCCAACCACGCUUCCUAAUGGCCGGUGAUCGAUGCAUUAUGGAUUUGUUACUGAUCCUCUUACACACGAUUUUCGUAUUUUUUGCAUACAACGUGAACGCACACCUCUCAUCACGCGGCAACAAAUCACGUACACGGCACCUGUGAUUCUCUCUAUGUUCGACACAUGGCACAUUCCCAUUCCCCCUCCUUGUUUUUUCCUUUUUCUCCUCAUCCACUUAAAUUGAUUUCACACGUGGAAUAUGCCAAAUCAUAUUCCCAUCUCAAUCAUGUAACGUCGACCAUAAAUAAAUAAAACGACCCCCCACCUUCCCUUCUCCAAUUAUUGUUAUAUAUAUAUAGUAAGCGUCACGACUCGAUAAGUCCAAUUCAAAGAGGUUAAGAAAAAAGAGCUUCUGCGUUUCGAAAAAGCACUAAACAACUAUGAGGAGCCCAUCCCUUCUCUCUUUGGCCCUACUGCUUCUCGCAGCAGUUGUGUGUAAUGCACAAGAUUUCGACUUCUUCUACUUCGUUCUACAGGUACAUAUAUAGUUAAUUACUCUUAUUGUUGUUUUAGAUAUAUGCACAAGAUUUGAACGUGCACUAAUAAUGGUUGUGUUGUUGUUGUGUUGUAGUGGCCGGGGUCUUACUGCGAUACUAGGCAGAGUUGUUGUUAUCCGACCUCCGGCAAGCCGCCCGCGGACUUCGGCAUCCACGGGCUUUGGCCAAACUACAACGAUGGAUCGUACCCGUCCAACUGCGACCCCGAUAGCCCCUUCGAUGAAUCGAAGGUUAUUAUUAUUGUUUUGGAUUUGGUUUUUUUUCUUAAUUUGAUAUAUAUAUAUGAUUUUGAAAAGUUGCCGGUGUGUUGUAAUGUCGCUCUUCUUCUGAAAAAGAUAGUAAUAAGGAAAGAAGCUUAAAAUAGAAGAACCGCCUAAAAUAUCAGUGUUGUUUUUGAAAAAGAAGGAUCAGUAAAUUAUUAGCUCACAUCACCUAAAAUUUUAGGCAUAGGCCAAACAAUUUAGAUAGUUUCGAUGCGAAACAUUGUUAGGAUAAUUCUUGAGAGUAAUCCGAAACUACAUCGGCGCCUAAAACAUAUUCUUUUUAAUAAAUUAUUUGUAGAUAAGCGACCUGAUAGGGCGAAUGCGAACGAAUUGGCCGACCCUCGCAUGCCCGAGCAACGAUGGCGUGAAGUUUUGGGGGCAUGAGUGGGAGAAGCACGGCACCUGCGCCGAGUCCAUCCUCGACGAGCACAGCUACUUCCAAACUGCUCUUAACCUCAAGAACCAGUUGAACCUUCUCCAAACUUUACAAAAUGCAGGUAAAAUUAGUUUCACAUCGGUUUGUAUAUACGUAGUCUCCAACCGACUCAACGCUAUGUCUUAUCAUUGAAAAUCUCAGUAGUUUCUCUUCAAAUUCAUCGAAUUUUCGUACUUUUCUUAUGAUGAUGAUAGAUGUACUCAAAGUGUUUGAAUCUUGAACACCUGUUGUUAUAAUUGAAGGCCUACUAAGACCAAACUAAAACUAAGUUAAGAAUUUGGAGUAAUGCUUCCAUAAAACAGUUUCCAUCCGAUUGCAUUUCCUCAUUAAAAAAUGACCAUAUUCCAUUAUAAUGAUCUGACCCGCUAAUCUCUAUCUUGAAUCGUACAAACAACAAAGUCAAAAAAUUAAGAAAAAAUUUUACCACGUACGAAUGAAUAUUAACUAUAUUUUUAUGGGAAACAACGUACAACGCAGGGAUCGAGCCGGACGGUGGAUACUACAGUUUGAGCAGCAUCAAAGAGGCUAUAAAAGAAGGAACUGGUUACACCCCAUUCAUCGAAUGCAAUGUCGACGAGUCGCGGAACAGCCAAUUGUAUCAGGUUUACUUCUGUGUGGACACUUCAGGUUCCCAGCUCAUUGAGUGCCCAGUAUUUCCCAGAGGAAGAUGCGAUUCAAGGAUUGAGUUCCCUGCUUUUUAGUAGAUAAGGGUGUGUUGGGUUGUAGUUUUAAUUAAUCAGUUGCUUGUAUUUCAUAAUAAGAUAAUUGGAGCAUUUAUUCCUGUAAUGAAAGAGACAUAUAUGGCAUCACUUUCAUAUUCCCUCAAUUUUUUUUUUUAAAAAAAAAAACAUUGUUUUCAUAUGGUUUAUUUCCUGUAUGGUUAAUUACUUUCGCCAGUAGAUACUUUUUUCGUAUAUACGGUUUCAGAUUAGAGGAUUCUCAGUUCAGAAUUACACCCAGAUUUUAAUGAUCUUCUCUAAUUUUCUUGCUUCUAUUGUUAGGCUUGAAAAAAAAAAAAAAAAGUGAAAUGUAAAUAUUAAAUUAUUAUUGUUUUUAAUUACAGCAUAAGAGUUUUACACUCUAUAAUAUGGACUGAAAGAAAAGAAGAAAAAGGAAAGGAAAGUUAUAAGAGAAAAUAAUUUUUUGCUGUUUGGAUCGAAACUGCAGGAGAGAGAAGAAAAAAAAAGAAAAAAGAGAGAGACAGAGAGAUAGAGAAAAAAUGGCCUUUUGUAAUGGUUUUUCUCUCUCCAACAGUGAAGAUAAAAAGGAGAAAGAAUUACUCUCUUUCUUUUUUUCCCCACUUACUUGAAGUAGUAGAAGAGAAAAUUAGUUUAUUUUUCCUUUUCUUUUAUUUCCUUAUCUCUUCUAUUCAUAGAGAAAUUAAUUGCUUCACGCUUUUGUUUUAUAAUGUAUAAUAAUGUACAAGAUAUUCCUAUCAAUGUAUCAUAGACCACGUGGGAGGAUCAUUUUUUCUCUCUCUCUCUCUUUUUUUUCUUUUUUUUUUUACUGUGUUGUUUUGAGUUGUCAUAAGAUGUUAAAAUGGGUCUAUGUUAUAAUAUAUUACUGAUUUCAUCAAGUAUAAAAUUUUAAUUGGCAACACUGUUGUAUACACAUAAAAUUGUAGCAUCCGUAAAAUUUAAAAGAUUAUAGGGAGAUUCAAAUAGAUACAAAUGAAUAAUAUGGGAUCCAGAUCAUUUUUUACCUAAUAAAAAGAAAAUUAAUUUACGUACAUGUAAUGAUCAAAAGAUAUAGCGCGUUUUUCUUUUUCGAAAACAUUUAUCUUGGUGGUCCAACGGUCUUGAAAAAACAGUGCCUUAUUUUUAUCAUUUUUUACAUCUUUUUUCAACGAGCCAAAGACAUUUUAUAUCCCAAGAAAAAGAGACCUCUUAUUGACGAAAUAUGGCCCUCACAUUGGAUCAAAUUACGUACGAUUUGGUCGCGAAAAGGGCAUUAAUCCGAAAAAAAGCAACACAUAGCGUAGAAGAAACCGGAGUGUCCAAAAAAAAAAGAAGGCAAGGUGCGUUUCGCAAACAUAAUAAUAGGAGAAUUAUUAUCUUCUUUUUUUUUUUUUUUUUUUUGAGAGAGAUAGUUAGCACGCUACCCGCUUCGUUUAUUUCAUUUAGAAAUAAACUUAGCUGGAAAUGUAAAUCAACUAAAAUUCGAACUUGAGUUUCGGAUACCAACCACUAAGUCCUUUGCCACUUGCUUUAGGGACAAUCGGUAAUAAGAAUUAUGAUUGUUUAUCAUAAACAUAAAAUAAGAGCUAUGAUUUUUUUGAGAGAUAGGUAGCACGCUACCCGCUUCGUUUAUUUUAUUUAAAAAUAAACUUAGCUAGAAAUGUGAAUCAACUAGGAUUCGAACUUAUGUCUCGGGUACCAACUAUCAAGCCUUUUGCCACUUGCUCUAGGGACGGUCGGUGUUUAGCUAGAUUAUUAUUGAAAAAGAUUCGAUAGUUAAGUGAAUCUACCAUUUGGUUUGCGAGAGAGAUAAUUUAUUUGCUGCGCUUCAUAUCUUUUGUCUCUUCUUAAAGUUUUAGGCACUAUAAUAUUAGAAAAUUACAAAUCAUUUCUAGUACAAGUGACAACUUAAUUAAUUUAUAUUUUCAGUGACAUUUAUAAAAAAAAUCUGUACUCUAGCGUUUGAGAACUUCUAUCAAAUACAAACUCUUGUUCCAGCUUUUCCAGAUCUAAUCAGCAAUAAGAGUUUGAUCGAUAGGUGUCACUUCAUAUGCCAAGAAAGAGUUUGUUAACCAACCCAAAUGUCUCAUCCCAAGAGUGCACGAAAUAUGGGCAAUCACCUGCUAACUCUAGGAUGUUACACUUUCAAUCACCAACCCUUUUUAUUUAUUUUCCUCAUCCAAAACAUAAUAUAGGUAUGUAUUUAUGUUCAUCCCCAACCACAAAUAUUAAUUUGUCCCCCUAGAAUGUUCCUUGGGAACCCAUUUCCAUUUAUAUCUUUAUUUUCUUUCGCUUUCUGUACAAGUAGACGUCUACUAUAAAUAUGUCAUGAUUGAACUAAAAAAAUUAAACAAAUAAAGAUACAAAUGUACGCGCACGUAUCUACAUGGACCGGGAUAUACCCGAUUUUUGUUAAUAUAUGUUCUUAUGUAGUUAGGAGGAAACUUUACAAAAUAGUUUAUUAGUAUGUCUUUCAUUAGAACCAAACUAACUAUGUCUUUUUUUCUUUUUCUUUUUUUUGAUGAGUGAGUAGUGGUAAGUGAAAGUUCGUCGGACCCAACCCAAUCUUGGCCUGAUUUAGUUACCACGGAAUUGGCCCAUUUUUGCGUGGAUCAUAGAUUCAACAUAGAAGCGUAAGCGCGUAACACACACACACAAAUGGGUCGGAUCUAGAGAGGGUUUCGUAAUUGGUUUUAUUAGUUAUAUUAGGCCGCCUCGUUGACAUCCCAAAGUAUGUGAUUUGAAUCCCAAAAUAUUCCAAAUUACUUUUAUAAGCAACAUGACUCGGAAAAGAUAUACAAACAAUUCGUGAACUCUACCACUUUUGUAAGCAAACCUCCGAACUUUUAAUUCUGAUAAUUACACUCGUUAAACUCUUUCCUCUUUCUAAAAUAAAAUAUAAUACAACUUUUGGGUUAUUGGAUAUGAGGCUUGAGGACCAAUUAUCCCCAAGUAUCCAUUUUGAAAUCCUUAGAAGAGACCCAUUCGGCUAAUUAUGCGGAUGCUCGGAGCUUGUUACGCACAAAAUUGGUAGUUCGCUGUCGCAUGUCAAUUUUAUUUUUAUCCAAAAAAUUUAUAUUUUUUUAAAAAAUUAAAUAUAUUUAAUUUAAAUAUAAAAAAAAUAUUUAAUAAAUAUUUAGAUAAAAAUAAAAUUGACAUUUCCCACUAAAAUUUUAGCCGCACAUCAACCGUAGUGACCGCGUGACAGUGUAAUCGGAACGGCGCAUGAGACUCACCAGUGAAUUUCCUCAACAAGCUUUUGAUCUUUUUGAGGACUCGGGAGAUGUUUGACUGAAAUUAAGGCUCAGGCAAAAUGAUAUUCUGUUUUUUUUAUAAAUAUAUAUUGUUGAAUAUAAUUUUAUAUAUUAAAAAGUAUGUAGAUGAAUUUUAAAAUUAUUAUUUUUAAAAUAUGUUAUUAAUCACUUAUUCAGAUGCGUUCUAAGUUAACCAACAACAAUAAUAAUAAUUCUUCAACACAUCAAGUUAUAACCAACCGUCCCUAUAGCAAAUGGCAGAGGAUUUGGUGGUUGGUACCCGAGAUUCAAGUUCGAAUUCUAAAAAUAAACGAAGCGGGUAGCGCGCUAUCUAUCUCUUCUAAAAAAAAAAAAAAACACAUCAAGUUAUAUAAAAUUAGUGUUUAAAAACAUGAAAAUGAGCAAUGGAACUAAACAAGGUCUAAGUUUGUGACAAAAAACAUUAAUCUUAUUACUAGCUUAGCACAAUAUCUUUUUUUGGAUAAAUUUCAAAUACCACCCCCUGUGGUUUCAUAUCACUUUAGUACCAUAUAGUUUAAAGUGUAUCAAGUUAAUGUUAUGUGGUUUUAUUUUUAUAUUUUCGUCAGCUUCUCCGUUAAUAUUUCGUUAAAUUAUAUAUAAAAAACUUCAGAUAUCCAUUUAAAUUUAUCAAAUAUUUACUUUAAUAGCUUUUAGCUUUAAUUUUGUCAUUAAUUUAACAAAAAAAAUUAGUGAAAUCGAUAAUAAAAAGAUAAAAAAUGAAAUCACAUAGUACUAAAUUAAUACACUUUAAACCACUGAAUAUUAAAGUGAAAAAGUGUGAAACAAUAAUAAUGGUAUUUGAGGUUUUUCCUUUUCUUUUUCAUUUCUUU
RNAcentral lists this long non-coding RNA (25822 nucleotides) under Ananas comosus (pineapple). RNAcentral's name for it is "long non-coding RNA (ACOM_LNC004425)". The record is from RNAcentral. Lineage: Eukaryota; Viridiplantae; Streptophyta; Magnoliopsida; Poales; Bromeliaceae.